GUCGCCGCAGUUACUCCUCCGCGAAAUAAUGGCGACACGCCGCGGUCUCCUCUCCUUCGGCGAUGCCUGUAGGCGACGGCAAUGGCGCCCUGCUGUGCCUGUCUGUGCUCCCCCACACUCCCCCUCCUCGGCGAGCUCGCCCUCUUCCCCGUCCCGCCUCCUCUCCUCCAUCGCUCGCGCCGCGCCGCGCUCGUGGGGCGGAGCCGUGGAAGUACCCGGGGAAGACCGCGCGGCGCGCACCGAAUCCGGCCAUGGUCCGAUUGGCCGAGCAUCGAAGCGCGGAAUGCAUCAUCCAAACACCACUACUUGCCGUUGCCAACGACAGCCAGCGAUCCUACAGUUAAUCUCGGCGGAUGUCCUUGAAUUUGCAUGCGCUGGUAACCUCUGUGAAACUUUGUGCUCUGUUGGCUCUUCCUGCUCUUGCUCUUGAACAUCGGUGUGGCGUCUUCUAUGAUUGAAGAGGACAAGGUCCUUGUGUUAUGCCAGGAGAGGAAGCGUUUUGUUAGAGAGGCACUUGAUGGAAGAUGCGCACUUCCAUGUGCUCACCGUGAUUACAUUGUGUCAUUUAGAGACACGGGAUCUCUUCUGAGAAGAUGUUUUGAAGGAGAAAAGUCUCCUGCAACUGCAAAUGAGGGGUGUCAUUUUCAAGAGUCAGAAGAUGGUUUGGACAAUCCGUCCACCGAAACAUUGGCACAGGUGCACAAGAACCCCAAUGAUUUGUCUGGUGAUAAUACUCUAACAGAACAGUCUAUUGCGCAUCAUGCCUCAGAUAGUAUAGCUUCAGAAAAUAUUGCUUCAGCAGACAGGCUCAAGGGCAAGAGGAGAAUAAUAGGUGUUAUCACAAAUUAAAAUGAUGAAAUUCUUGCCAUUCCCCUAGUUAAUGUGGUCCCAUCAUCUGGGGCGGCUCGCACUAUCGACUCCCAGAAACCUUAUCCUGAAGUAAAGAAUGUGGCGAAGGACUUCUCUUCAUGCAUGAAAGAGGUUGAGAUAUUAUUCUUUAGGGCAUGUGAUUCUGGGAAACAAGUUCCAGUGAUUCUGGAAGAAGAUAAAAUCCAGUUCCGCCCUCUACUACCUGAAGAAAUAGCACAUGGAUCAAAGGGAUCAAAGUAUCUUGCGACAUUUCUUGUUUGCUGCAGGGAGGAAGUUUCUAUUACCAAACCUCCUCCUCAAGCUGUCGCCAUCUAAGAAUCCUCCUGGAACUAUUCUUGACAUCCAUACAUCGACGCUAGAUACUCUCUCCGUCCCAAAAUUCCUGUCUUAGAUUUGUCUAGAUACGGAUGUAUCUAACACUAAAAUGUAACUAGAUACAUCCGCAUUUAGACAAAUCUAAGACAAGAAUUUUGAGAUGGAGGGUGUAGAUUGUAGGCAUGGGAGACAAAGCUUUAUGAUGAAGUUAAGGCCAGCAGCUCCAUAUGCAGGAAGUAUGACGAGAAGUGUAAACAACUGAGAGACCAGGAGUCGCGAGGGAAAAAGGAAAUCAUCAUCGAUUUUACCCGUGCUGCAGUAAAAGACUUGCGCUCCAGAAUCCUAGUGGCCAUUCAGAAAAUAGAUUUCAUUUUGGCGAGCAUAGAAGAUCGAAGGGAUAAAGAGCUUCAAGCACAUCUGGAUGAGCUAAUUGAAAGUUUCUCCGUGAUGUGGGAAACCAUGCUCCAGUGCCGUCGGCGCCAACACGCGAUCAUCAAGUCACUAUCAGCGGCUGCAAACUAGAAACACCAUUCGACUCCGAGCCUCGACGCCAAGCCGCCCUCUUUCUGUCGAUCGAGCUCGGCAAACUAUGCUCAAACCUCCGAAACUGGAUCGCAUCCCGCAGGGCCUACCUGGGCAGCCUCAACCUGGGCCUUUUCGGAAAUUUCAGUGCAGAAAUACCUUGAUCUGCAGAAAGGCGUCUGUGCGGCUAAAUACAGGCUUCUGAGAUAAGCUUGAGGUAGUGAUCACUGCAGCCUGCGGGUGUACUGUACUGUAUAUCGGCUGGGUGAAACACUGCGACUUCAUCCUUGUCAAUUUUCCAAGUACAUAAAAGUAAAUAAACGGUCGCUCCUCGUGUAAACUCUGAACUUUGGCCGUGUGACGGUGACCGAAAUCUGUAAAAUGGCAUUUCUGUCGAGCGGAGACAGCAGAGUUGGAAGGCAGCAUGGCUUGAAAUGGCGAUGUGGAUGUAAAGAUGCAAUGGGUGUGUGUGAUCCUGUAAAUAUGAAUCGGCCGAUGUUAUAUGUAGUUACGUUUGUCUA
This is a long non-coding RNA of Triticum dicoccoides, 2228 nucleotides long. RefSeq lists it as uncharacterized. The record is from RefSeq and is a predicted model, not a curated record. The transcript is spliced from 6 exons. Lineage: Eukaryota; Viridiplantae; Streptophyta; Magnoliopsida; Poales; Poaceae.